This 74-nucleotide transfer RNA is filed under the name Desulfobacterales bacterium. RNAcentral's name for it is "tRNA-Arg". It matches the Rfam family "tRNA". Rfam says of the family: Transfer RNA (tRNA) molecules are approximately 80 nucleotides in length. The record is from RNAcentral. Lineage: Bacteria; Pseudomonadati; Thermodesulfobacteriota; Desulfobacteria; Desulfobacterales.
GCGCCCGUAGCUCAGUUGGAUAGAGCGCCGGACUUCGGAUCCGUAGGUCGGGGGUUCGACUCCCUCCGGGCGCG